AAUCAACGCUGGCGGCGUGCCUAACACAUGCAAGUCGAGCGAGAAAGGGGGGCAACCCCCGAGUACAGCGGCAGACGGGUGAGUAACACGUGAACAAUCUGCCCUCGAGUGGGGAACAACACCGCGAAAGCGGUGCUAAUACCGCAUAAGAUCCCGGGAUCGCAUGACCUUGGGACCAAAGACGCAAGUCGCUUGAGGAGGAGUUCGCGCCUGAUUAGCUAGUUGGUGAGGUAACGGCCCACCAAGGCAACGAUCAGUAGCCGGCCUGAGAGGGUGAACGGCCACACUGGAACUGAGACACGGUCCAGACUCCUACGGGAGGCAGCAGUGGGGAAUUUUGCGCAAUGGGCGAAAGCCUGACGCAGCAACGCCGCGUGGAGGAUGAAGGCCUUCGGGUCGUAAACUCCUGUCAGGGGGGACGAAACCGGGCAACCGGCUGACUGUACCCCCGGAGGAAGCCACGGCUAACUCCGUGCCAGCCGCCGCAGUAA
This 491-nucleotide ribosomal RNA is filed under the name uncultured bacterium. RNAcentral describes it as "partial 16S ribosomal RNA". It matches the Rfam family "Bacterial small subunit ribosomal RNA", at positions 29 to 523 of the family's 1533-position model. The record is from RNAcentral.